UAGCCGUAAACGAUACUCGCUAGGUGUCGCCCACGGUGCGACCGUUGUCGGUGCCGUAGGGAAGCCGUGAAGCGAGCCACCUGGGAAGUACGGCCGCAAGGCUGAAACUUAAAGGAAUUGGCGGGGGAGCACCACAACGGGUGGAGCUUGCGGUUUAAUUGGAUUCAACGCCGGAAAUCUUACCGGGACCGACAGCAACAUGAAGGCCAGGCUGAAGACUUUGCCGGAUUAGCUGAGAGGUGGUGCAUGGCGUGUGACUGU
Molecule: ribosomal RNA, 261 nt
Filed under: uncultured archaeon
Lineage: Archaea
Description: partial 16S ribosomal RNA
Rfam family: Archaeal small subunit ribosomal RNA
Source: RNAcentral